AAGUGUUACAGCUCUUUUAGAAUUUGCAGAGCAGGCUUUCAGGUUUUUGCCAGAAACCACCCCC
Molecule: small nuclear RNA, 64 nt
Organism: Callithrix jacchus (white-tufted-ear marmoset)
Lineage: Eukaryota; Metazoa; Chordata; Mammalia; Primates; Cebidae
Gene: U7
Rfam family: U7 small nuclear RNA
About the family: Animal histone pre-mRNAs are spliced by a different mechanism than nuclear pre-mRNAs and self-splicing introns.
Source: Ensembl